CUGAUUGGACAAACUUGACUUAGGGACGGUGUCUGUCUCCGAUGGGGCUUGGUAAUUGGGUGGACUACGGAGAAAGGUAAAGAAACAGAUACAGAGUGUUUGCUGUGGACUCCCAUUAUUGUCCCAGUUGUUUAGAAAAUAUGCCGUCGGCUGAAGCCAAACUAAAAAAGAAUAGACUAGGGGAAUGUAUUUUGGGGAGGAGAACCACAGAGAUGUGCCAAUUGCUUUGACUGUCCUGGCUGCAUGCACACCCUCUCUACCCGGGCCACGAGCAUCUCCACCCAGCUUCCAGAUGACCCAGCCAAGACCACCAUGAAGAAAGCCUAUUACCUGGCAUGUGGAUUUUGUCGCUGGACGUCUAGAGAUGUGGGCAUGGCAGACAAAUCUGUAGAUGAACAAAUUGAUUGAAUAUUACCAGCAGCUUGCUCAGAAAGAGAAGGUUGAGCGAGAUCGCAAGAAAUUGGCACGACGUA
This 473-nucleotide small RNA is filed under the name Pongo abelii (Sumatran orangutan). RNAcentral describes it as "processed transcript". Lineage: Eukaryota; Metazoa; Chordata; Mammalia; Primates; Hominidae. The record is from RNAcentral.